GAUAUGUCAUGUUAUAAAUCUUAUAAAAUGAAAAAUUGUUCUUUUAGCCCCUUUAAAAAAUUUACUUUUUCUCUUCCCCUUCCUCCUGUCUUCUUCUUCUUCUUCUCUUAUUUUCCUUUCACAAAAAGGAAACUCAGAGAAGAGUCCCAACAGAAGGCCACUGAGUGUUGAAACUCAGAGAGGGAAUGGAAAUGGUAAUGUCGAGCAGAGAAGAGUCUUUCCGGUUCAGUCGCCCCAGGUUAAUGUGAGAAGAACCGGAUUAGAACAGACGACGAAUAGAUUACCCGGAAACAGGAAACCAACGGCUGAGAUUUAUGAUAAAGAAGAGAAGGUAUUUAUUCCAGCGGAGGAUCAAACAUGUUUCAGAGAGUAGCAUUAGCACUUCUUCUCAAACUGAUACGGAGAGGUUGAAGGUGGAGGACCCUUUUGGAAAGAUGUGAUAAGCUGCUUCAGAGCAUUGCGGAGAGCCCGGUCCUCGUACUCGAUUCGUCGUUCUACAAAGAGGAACCGUCUCCUUCCCCUAUUAUGAAACGGAGCAUCGAUUUCAAAGGUGAAAAUGAUGGGGUUACAAGCAUGUGAUUCUGAUUCAAGUUGAAAACGCCCGUGACAGAAAAGGGUUCAUUCCAUCAGAGCUUGGCCUUGCAAUCCUGGAUUCAAUAUCCAUCCUUCACUUUUUCUCCAGAAAUCUACACACUUUUGUGUUAUUCAUUAGCUUCUCACUUAAUAAAAUUUGGAUUUUAGUCUCAUGACCCCAAUAUACAAAAUCUUAUUUCAUAAUUUAACUUAUUUAAGAAUUCA
This is a long non-coding RNA of Gossypium raimondii (Peruvian cotton), 798 nucleotides long. RefSeq lists it as uncharacterized. The record is from RefSeq and is a predicted model, not a curated record. The transcript is spliced from 3 exons. Lineage: Eukaryota; Viridiplantae; Streptophyta; Magnoliopsida; Malvales; Malvaceae.